UAAGAUAAGAAACAUUAUUAUUUAUCGACACAGAAGAAAUUCUAGUGUGCAUUUUUUUAACACCUACAAGGUAUAAUAUUAUAUAGUUUUGGCCCAUCUUAUCACGUAGAAGGUGUUUCACAAAAGAUUUAUAAACGUUUUGAUACAACAUAAAAAGGUUUUCCUUUUUUUAUUUUUCAGUUAUUCUAUACAGCAAUAUAAUAGAAGAUAACACAGGGGAGAUUUCAUUAUAUUUUUUUAUAGC
Non-coding RNA from Cinara cedri, 244 nucleotides. Lineage: Eukaryota; Metazoa; Arthropoda; Insecta; Hemiptera; Aphididae. The record is from the annotation of a GenBank genome assembly.